UGUACAUAAAUGAUAUUAAUGUAUUGUGAAGUAUAACUUUUGGAUGUCUCUUAAAAUCUAUUUUCUAUCUUUUUUCUUGGAAUGAAGUCUAGAGAACACUCUUCUGGCUCCUCUGAAGUCAAGUGUGAUGGUGUGACUAUGUUCAGAACAGUGGAUUAUGAGCUGAAAUGUCUUUGUUAUGUCUACUCACCUUUUGAUCUUCCUCUUCUGGGUAGACAGAAGGCAAGGGUGGAUCUGUGAAAUAGAAGGAGCACUGACCCCUCAGCCAUCGUGUGGAGGAGCUGAUUGGUCGUGAACUCUCACUAUGGACGUGAGCCUGUGAAAAUGACUUCUAUGGACAGAACAUGCUGGAUUACAGAAUCAUGGAGCAGAAAUAAAUGAUCUGAUUUAUGACAAUUAGCAUGGGGAGAGGAAACAGAGAUGGUCACUGGGAGCCAGCAAGAAUGAAUUAUUCCACUAAUUCUCUUUCUUCCCAGAUUUUCUUGAAUUUGAAUCCCAGCUUUAAUAAUAUGCCUAUGGAUAUUAAUAGGCUUUACAAGGCUGUUGCCAAGUGAUUGCAUAUCAACAUAAACUGUGAAACUUCAGUGCUUGUUUUGUUUGGUUGUGCUACAACACACUUCAAUCCAAGAAGCAUUUGUUUGUUCGAAACUACCAGGCACCUAUCAUCAUACUGCAUGUUAUUUGUAAACCGUAGCUUGUUGGGAAAAUAGUAAGUAUCCAAUGUAGAUCUGACUGAUUAAUGCAUAAGAAAUGGCAUCUGCUUUCAAGGAACUUAGAACUUGCAUGGUUAAAAGUAUUUUGCAUAUUUCGAAGGAAAGCAAUUUACUUACAUGAUCUCUGGCAAAUCUGGUUCUUAGCAAAGUUAAAAGCUUAGAAAGAAGAAAGGACUAAUUGUUACUAAGUCCUUAAUACAUGCUGAACACUUACCAACAUACAUUAUACUUUGGCCUUACCACAGACCUGAAGGCCUGGUUUUAUCCCGUUUUCAGGGGGGAGAAACUGAGGGUCAGAGAAGCUUGGAGACUUGCCCACGUUUACACCUAGUAAGUGGAGAGUGAGGCUUUGCCGGCAAACGCGCUGAAUGAAGGUUUGUUUCCCUACAAAGAUGCUGCUUUCAUUGCUGCUCUAGUUCACUAAGUCUGCAUGCCAAGCCCUGGGGCAGGCUCCCAUUGUUCAGUCCCAGUUAUUGCUGCUGAAUGUGAGUGUUCAGAUUCUCCUGCCAAUGCCUUACCAGCCUCGGGGAGGAACAGCUCAGCGUGAUGAUCUAACUCUUCCGUUUUGUAGCAACAUCUUCUUUUCCUACUUUGCACACCAUGUCAUCCACUCCAGUUAUUAUCUUUAUGUGGCUCCAAUCCCACACCUCUCUUCUGGGCACUCCUACCUGAAGAGACUUCUAAUUCGGCACAUUCCAAAUCAAAAUCGUUUGUCUCUCUCCUCUUCCAUACGCUCAAGGUUGAGGGGUGAGCAACUGGCUUCUUUCCCCCCUGUUGUUACCCUUUCUAGGUCAAUGUCAUCCUCAGCAGUGGAUGUUCACAGACAGAAAGAAAGCUAUUUUUGCUUCUCUGCUUUACUUUACUCCUUCACUUACUGAAAGAACCAAGUCCUAUAGAGUCUCCCCGCGGCAACCAUAACUCCCUUUCUCCCACAUCUCCACUGCUACCACCAUCAGCUUUUAUGGCCUCCAACUUCAGCAAUUCUGUGAGCUUCCUAGAGGGUUUCAUCAGCUGAAGUUUCUUUGUGUUUCACUUCAACCCCUUCAUGCCUUCAGCCUCUCUCUCUCUCUCUCUCUCUCUCUCUCUCUGUCUCUCUGUCUCUCUCUCUCUCUCUCUCUCUCUCUCUCUCUCUCUCACACACACACACACACACACACACACACACACACACACACACACACACACACACACACACACCCACAUGCACCUGCCACUCCGGCUUCAAUUUGCAGUUCACCCAAGUCAAUCCCAGUCUGUUUUGUCCACUUUCCUCAGCCCCUUCCUCUGACCCCAACAACUCCAGGGUCCAAUGAGGCAAAAUCUUGCCAUCAGUUGAAGACAUCAAACACAUCUGUACCUCAAACUAUCUUUGUAUUGUUUUCUCCUCAGAGAAAGAACUCGAGUGUUAGUAGCUAGUGAGCUCUUCCUUGACAUCAGCUGACUGACUCUGAGAUGGUGCUGCUUCCACUUUCCUGGGUGAUUGCUUUCCCACUUGACAUACAUCUUACAUUUUAAUGGUCUUAAUGAUCAAUCAUCAUUUUAAAAAUUGUGUUGAUUAUACAGUUCUAAUCUAAGCAUUCUAUAACAUCAUCGAUAUUAAAUAUUCAUUCUUUAACAAUGAACUGUUUUGAGUUCAUUGUUAUACCAAAAAAGUAUAAUUAAUAAUUUAAUGAUGUCAAUGGACCUACUCUUCAGGUUGGCCAAAUUUCUUUUAAUCCAAAAAGCAGAAGGUUUCAGAUAUAUUGAAGGCUUCUGUGUGUCUCUCAUUUCUUCUCUUGCCAAAGACAUCUGCUACGUGGACUGUGGUGAGUUUCCAGAAACUAUGUGUUCUUACAUUUACUAUAUGCAGGUAUCUCCAUAACCAAUAACUUCACAGUUUUUUUAAAAAAGAUUUUAAAAAUAUGAUAAUGCCACCCUUGCCUGUAUCAUGCCACAACAGAAGUUUACAUUUUGCUCACUACUACUGUGUUUGGGGGAUUUAGCCACACUGGUCACUUUAGGGCCCAUCAGGGCACUCAUUUGUUAAAAUACAGUUGUCUUCUCUUCAUGGUAGUUUUGCUUUUUAUAGUUUCAGUUAUCCUCCUGGUCAACUAUACCCCAAAAAUGUUAUGUAGGAAAUCCCAGAAACAAUUCAUCAGUUUAAAUUAUGCAUUGUUUUUAAGGUGUAAUGAGAUUUCUUACUAUCUAGAUCCGUCCUGUCUAGGUGUCUUAGGGUUUCUAUCGCUGUGAAGAGACACCAUGACCAAAGCAACUCUUAUAAAGUAAACAUUUAAUUGGGGUGGCUCACUUACAGUUUCAGAAGUUCAGUCCACUGUCAUCAUGACAGGGAGCAUGGUGGUUUGCGGGCAGAUGUAGUGCUGGACCUGGGAGUGCUACAUCUUACAGGCAACAGGAAGUCAACUUAGAUACUGGGCGGUGUCCUGAGCUACCCCCACAGUGGCACACUUCCUCCAACAAGGCCACACCCACACCAACAAGCCACACCUCCUAAUAGCGCCAUUCCCUAUCAGAUUAUGGGGGCUAAUUACAUUCAAACUAUCACACUAGGACAUCAGUCAUCCAUUGUCUAAUGUGUCCAAACUGUAUAGCUACCCAUCUAUUAGUCCCCCAGUGGCCAUCUUCACAGACCCUCUGUUGGAGUCUUAUAAUGCUUGUAUAGGGAUUCAAGAAGAUCUCAAUUUCAAGCAUUGACUGGGGGCUUUUGGAAAUAUCCCCUGUGAAUAAGGGACAAUUAGACAAUAGAUCAUUAUCUUUUUCUUUUUCACUUUCUCACCAUGGGCCUCAAGGAUCCAAUACUUUCAUAGUAUCUUCCAGAUUCACAAAAUCGCCACGUGAUUUUUUCUUAUUAUUUUUUUAAAUUUUUGGUGCAUUAUCUGUAACAUAAAGCUAACAAUUUGAACUAUUACUAUUUUAAAUGUGUGUGUAGUGGUAUUCAAUACAUCUCCACUGCUGUGCAACCUUCACCCCCUUCCAUCUCCAGAAUUUUGUCAUCUUCCAACCCCAAAUUCUGUGUGCUUUAGACUCUAACCAUGCAUCCUCCCUCCAGCUUCUUUCUACUGCCAUUCUGUUUCCUGUCUUUAUGAAUUUGAUUAUUCUAAAUAUCUUAUAAAGUAGACACACAAGACCGUCCCAUAGGGCUUAGUAUGAUGUCAUCAAGGUUCAGUCAUGUUAUGUCUUGUGUCAGAACUGCAUUCCUUCUGAAGGCUGAAUAAUGUUCCAUGACAUGCAUAUACCACUUUCCCUCUGAUUUCUUUUGUUUUUAUGCCUUUGUACCAGCUGAGUGACGGCCUAGCUAAACCAAAUAGACAAACAAAACUGUACACAACGAGCAGAUAGAGAUUUUCUAGGAUGGUCCCCAGGCACAACACUAUGGCAUGGCAUGCUUGAAAAAACAACAGGUUAGGUGAGGCUGUUUUAGUGUGCUUCAGCUGGGUGGUCCUAGAAACUGGCCUUGACUUUCCAAACAUUAGUUCCCUCAUCUAAUCUAAAAUAACAAAGCCGUUCUGCCAUUCUAAGCCUGUAGUUUUAGGAGUGUCCUUAAAUGCAUUGUCCUAAAGUUAAUAUUGAAAGUAGAUGCAAAGGCACUGUAACAAAAUAAGGGAAAUAUUUGGGGGAAGACUCAGCAGUCCCCUCAACACAGAGGCAGCUCACACUGUGAGUAAAGCUAACAUUAGAUACUUCAACCUCCAAUGGCUGUUUGUCUAGAGUUGACUGAACCUAGAAAAAUUCCUAUCAUUUAUGUUGUAGCUUUCUUCUUGGGCCCUGAGAUCAUCCAAAUCUAGUUAGAUUUGUUGGUUUGUUUCAUUUUUCGUUGAAACUUAAUUACAUAGACUAUUUCAAUAGAGGAACUAAAUUCAGUAUUUUUGUAUAUUGUAGAUUUUCUUCUUUACUGCUGUAAUUCUCUAGAUCCUUUUACUUUCUCUACUUAGAAGUGUUUCUCUCAACUUACCCUUGAUUUAUAUAGUUGUUCCCAACAGCACCUAAGAGCAUCCUCAGACAGUGAACACAGAUGGAGAGACGUGGGAAAAGAGAGAGUAACAGUGGGGCUUCCUUGCGCUCCUCUGGAACCUGUCUGAAGAAUGGUCUGGAAAGGAGGGAAGAACUUUGGAGACCCCACCCAUCCCAAACUGUAUCCUUCGUCAUAUCUGUGCUGCUGUUGUUCUUGCUUCUAACUGCUUCUUCCAUGGGCUUGAUGCAGAAUAAAACAGCGCAUAUUUUUUAUUGUGAACACUUUCUUCAUGUAUGUGCUUUGAAAAUUGAGCCAGCUGGACACAUGUGGCACUAAUUCAUUAAUUUUAACUGCAGCACACAUUAUCUUUUAUGAAUGGGGCAUGAGUUAUUUAAUCUGUUCUUUUGUUAACAACCUGUCUUUAAUUUGUCACUCCAACAUUUCUCUAUGAACAUAUGUGGGUCUCUUAAAACCUUAUCAUUUGAUUUCUGUUUUAGAAAUCUGCUUUAUUUAUUUAUUCAAAAAAGAAUUUCUAUGAAAUCCAAAGUUUCUUCAUUCAAUAGAAAUAAUUUAAAUGUUUGCUGAGUACAGAAAAAAAAACAGGAAACAAUCUGUUCUCUAGGAGGAGCUGCUGGAGUAGGACAGCAGUCAAAUCAUAACGCAAAGAAACAUACAUUGCAAGCGUAAUGAAUGAAUUGAAGAAAAGUGGUGUCACUGUGUAAGAAUCCACUUGGCUUAGGGCAUCAGUGAUCAUUUUUCUAAUGGUAGGUCUAAAAGAGGGAAGAGGAGUGAGUCAAUCAUCCUGGUGAAGGAUUUGAGGUUUGAGCUGGGUGAACGGUGAGAAAAUGGCAGAAGCAGAGGAACUUCAGAUCCACAGGUCUAGGACAGAGAAAGUGGACAAUGAAGAAAGACGGCCUCUGUGUCUGGGACAAGCUUAGGGAAAUAUAAGAAUAGAUGAGAGAAGCCAAGAAGAUGGCUGAAGUCACAGAAGACAUUUGACUUCUGCUCUAAAGUAGUGGAAUUAGUGUAAAGCAAGGCAGAAAUAUGGUAUUUUUUAAUACAAAGGACUAACACUAUAUUUGAGUUUCCAAACCACAAGUUCACCGGGUCCUGUAUAGUAGUCUUUGAUGGAACCUUUAUAUCAGUUUAGCUAAGCCCACAGGCUAAUGCUAAAUACCUUGCAGUCACUGGCAGGACUCCCUCCUUUUCUAGAUGACUGAGCAGAGGAAAUGCUUGGAAGUUAGAGCUUGUGCUUUUACAGCAGAAUGCAUAGCAGAGAAAGUUCAAAGGUGGAUAGUAUCCCCAGAGAGCUGAAAGUUCUCAGAGAAGAAGGCAAACAGACAAGAAGGGUGGUAAUAAGGAAAGGCGUGUCCAUGGAAAAGAAAGAGAUGGGAAUAAAGGAAGGAUGGGAUCCUAGAAGUCUCCUGGUCCAGUGAGUACAGAAAUCAGGAUGGACAAGGGCAACACAAGGAUAAAGUAUUAGUAGAAACAUCAGUUGAAAUUUGGAGGGAAAAUGUAGCUCUUAGGCUGUCCAAAUGGACCAAACAGUCCAUGAAAUGGACAACCCAUCCAGCCGCUAAAAUUAUGUGGUCUCCAGAUCUAAGCAUCUUUAGACACAGCCCAUAAGCAAUUCCCUUCCUUAGAAAAUCAAAGUCAUGAUCUGUUACCUAUGGUACCAUCAUUUAGUAGUUCACUCGGUAACUCAACUCGGACUGCCACCUACUCCCUGGACUUCAUGGCUGUCUUGGCUCAAAACACACUGAACACUACCAUGGAUCCUAAAGAACCAGCCUUCACUGCCCCACCAGUUAGCAAUGUGUGUCCCUCUUCACAAGGUUUUAGUUGUA
Peromyscus californicus insignis is the source of this 6509-nucleotide long non-coding RNA. RefSeq lists it as uncharacterized. NCBI's taxonomy places the organism in Eukaryota, Metazoa, Chordata, Mammalia, Rodentia, Cricetidae. The record is from RefSeq and is a predicted model, not a curated record. The transcript has 4 exons.